Sciurus carolinensis (gray squirrel) is the source of this 1091-nucleotide long non-coding RNA. RefSeq lists it as uncharacterized. The transcript is spliced from 3 exons. Lineage: Eukaryota; Metazoa; Chordata; Mammalia; Rodentia; Sciuridae. The record is from RefSeq and is a predicted model, not a curated record.
CCAUUUCAGAGAUGGAGAAAGAGGCUCAGGGAGGUCACAGCUAGCAGCUGUGUGCUGGAUGGGGCAGAGAGUGGCAGGGAGGUCCUGUGGGUGGCCACCGCCCAGUUCUUUCCCAGAAACCAUCUCUUUCACUGUUGCAGUCCUGUGAGGGGGACAGGACGAGGGGGACAGGACAAGGGUGCAGCUGGGAAGUCAAGGCUCUGAGAGCCAGGGCGACUUCCCGUAAGCCACACUGCAAGGACACUGCAGAGGUGAGGUCUUCCAAACCCUGCCUUCCUGGGCUCCUACACAAACACAGGUUGUCACUGUGCUCUGAGAAGUUCUGAACCCGCCCAUUCAGCCAUUCAUCACUUCCACGGAUGCGUACUGAGCACCUACUGUGUUAGGUGCUGCACCUUGUAGGGCUGGGAAGAGAUUCCACAGAGCCAAGCAAACAAAAGUCCCUGCUCUCCCAGCGGAGGAGGAAGAGAAAACAACACAAAUAAAUUCAUCACAGAGGCUGCAACAUGGGGUUAAUAAUAACCCUCCUUCCCAGGGCACUGUGAAGAUGAAAUGAGUUCACCUACCUAAAGCACUCAGGCGAGUGCCUGGCUCAGGAGGCCCUGGGGGCCUGAGCUGAGGAGAAGGACUGAAAAAAAUAUAUCACGGAGAGGCGUUAAAUGGAUUAAAGAGGCAGGUGGCCAGAGGGGACGAGGGGCAAAGCCGUGCCAGACAGCAGCAGCAGAGACCUUCUCCUCCACGAAGCUGCAAAUUGGCUUCUCCUUCCUCAUCACUCGCCAGAACAGUCCCUGGAGCAGACAGGCUGGGAAGAUGAACGACAGCCCCUCCAUCCUGGCUUCUUCUCCCAGGCUCCUCAGCAGGAAGGCUCAGCUGCCUUUGUGCUGCAGAUUAAGAAAAAGCAGGGCGGCUCCCUGAGAGAAGACUCCCAUCACCAGCUCCCCUCACCGAAAGCAGGAGGGAGGCUGCCGGCCACAGGAACAGGGCCAGGGGGCCUUCACCCCAACACUGCCUAGAUGGGGCAAGAACUAUCCGGGGUAUCCAGAUGUGGUGGUGCACACUUGUAAUUGCAGAGGCUGGGGAGGCUGAGGCAG